This is a long non-coding RNA of Oryzias melastigma (Indian medaka), 1370 nucleotides long. RefSeq lists it as uncharacterized. Lineage: Eukaryota; Metazoa; Chordata; Actinopteri; Beloniformes; Adrianichthyidae. The transcript is spliced from 2 exons. The record is from RefSeq and is a predicted model, not a curated record.
GUCAGCCCAUUUGAGAAAUCUGUACACCCACGGAACUGGUGAGGUUGUUCUCGACUGUCUGUGCUCUUUAGUGUGAGGUGUUGCUUUAGUUUAACUUUUUGUUUUCCAUGCUUGGUAUAUUGUGAAAGCUUCAACCUGUUAUUUGACUGCGCUAACUUGACUUCGGUUUUAUUGUUAUUUUGAGGGUAUACACACCAGAUAGAAGGUCCUGGUUUAAAAACAGUUCUUUCGUACAUGUGUGGGUUUCCUCCAGGCACUCUGGUUUCCUCCCACAGUCCAAAAACAUUCUUGGCAUAAAUGUUGUAUACUUGUAUAGUAUUUUACUACCUUCUUAGAAGACCCAAAGCCCUUUACAGUCACGGUCUCAUUCAUACACACUGACGCUGGCUCUGCUACAGAACACUGGCGCCAACCUUUAACUACCAGCAGUGGCGGACUUAGCGGUUUAGGGCCCCCGGGCGAACAAUAAGAUUUUGCAGAGGCUGUAUUAAUCAUGUCUUUUUUUUUAAAUCCAUACCCAGCGUUAAAUGUUCAUAUGUAAUUUAUUUAAUUUGUUGUUUUUUUGUUUUUUCAAAAUGGCAUUUUUCUGCCUUUUCUCAUUCUUCUUUUUGUUGUUAUUCUUGUUGUUGUUAUUGUUCUUCUUUUUCCUGUUUUGUCUUUCUUCCUGCAAUUUUGGAAGUGUGGCAACAAUUUGUUUCACUUUCUCUAUACUUUUUCCUUUUUUCACAGCUGGUUACCUCUUUUUUAUAUUCAAACUCUUGGAAGAGUCUGUCUCUGCUAGCUAACUUGCUGUUGGCAGAAUUUUCCAUUGCUGCAGAUUUAAAGGGGAGGAUGAAACCCUUUCACCUUGGGGCCCCAAAAUUUUUGGGCAAUCGCCUACCUUUGCCUAAUGGAAAGUCUGCCCCUGACUACUGGGAGCAAUGUUGGGUUCAGGGUCUUGCCCAACGACACUUUGACACAUGGGCAUGCAGAGCAGGAACCGAACCUGCAAUUUUCAAAUCAGAGGUUGACCGCUCUACCACAGCUUCAGGCUGAUUGGUGAUUUCUAAACUGUCCCAGAUGUGUGUGUAUGAGAAGCGACUAACAACCAGUUGUAACCACCUUCCAACAGUAGCUGGGUCGGCUCCAGUAACCCCAAAAGGGAUCUGGGAAAGAAUUCUGAAGAUGGAUGGAUGGGUAUACACAUAUUGUUUUCCCUUAUUUGUCUGUAAAUGUUUCUUUUUUCUUGCUUAAUUUAUAUGUGAGCUGGUUUGCUCUCCAUCAAUUGAGCUAUUUGUUUGAAUUUUAUGUAUUUAUUUGGAAUUUGAGCCCAAGCCUCUGCCACAUACAGACCAAGUCCAAAGGAUGAAUAAAACUCCAAGGGUGCUGUA